GACGAACGCUGGCGGCGUGCUUAACACAUGCAAGUCGAACGGAAAGGCCCUGCUUUUGUGGGGUGCUCGAGUGGCGAACGUGUGAGUAACACGUGAGUAACCUCCCCUUGACUUUGGGAUAACUUCAGGAAACUGGGGCUAAUACCGGAUAGGAGCUCCUGCUGCAUGGUGGGGGUUGGAAAGUUUCGGCGGUUGGGGAUGGACUCGCGGCUUAUCAGCUUGUUGGUGGGGUAGUGGCUUACCAAGGCUUUGACGGGUAGCCGGCCUGAGAGGGUGACCGGCCACAUUGGGACUGAGAUACGGCCCAGACUCCUACGGGAGGCAGCAGUGGGGAAUAUUGCACAAUGGGCGGAAGCCUGAUGCAGCAACGCCGCGUGCGGGAUGACGGCCUUCGGGUUGUAAACCGCUUUCGCCUGUGACGAAGCGUGAGUGACGGUAAUGGGUAAAGAAGCACCGGCUAACUACGUG
This 468-nucleotide ribosomal RNA is filed under the name uncultured bacterium. Its description in RNAcentral is "partial 16S ribosomal RNA". It matches the Rfam family "Bacterial small subunit ribosomal RNA", at positions 28 to 507 of the family's 1533-position model. The record is from RNAcentral.